Non-coding RNA from Schistosoma mansoni, 71 nucleotides. The record is from Rfam. Lineage: Eukaryota; Metazoa; Platyhelminthes; Trematoda; Strigeidida; Schistosomatidae.
CGUAUAACUCCGCCUGUAGCACCUCCGGGGGCUAUUGCCGGUCUCAAGACCGGAUAAAGGAGGAGGGUUGG